RNAcentral lists this long non-coding RNA (832 nucleotides) under Homo sapiens (human). RNAcentral describes it as "HSALNT0388466". Lineage: Eukaryota; Metazoa; Chordata; Mammalia; Primates; Hominidae. The record is from RNAcentral.
GACCUGCACCAAGGCCGCCAGCGCGAAGAAGGCGGCCAUGAGUCCGUUGCAGGCCCGCCACAGCGCUGGCGCCAUGGCUCGGAGAACACGGCGCGGGGCGCACCUGACAUACCUGGAUAUAAACAAUAUCCAAGGCCCCUAAGGUAAAAGCCUUGCUCCAAGUCCCCUUCUGACUUCUAGUCACUUCCGUGCUGCCAGCAGAGGGCGUGGGAUUCUUCCUGAGGAGCCUGAGUCUCAGCUUUGCCAGGUCCUUGCUGUGUGACCUUGGGCACCUGUGCUCCCUUGACAAAGAGGAAUAAAACCUCUUCAGACUACUCUCCUAUCGAUUCUCUCCUGGAACAUAUGACCACCAUCAAUUAUAGGCAAGAACAUGAACACGGGAGUCCCAAAGACUUGGGUUCAAAUGUCAGCCCCUUCACUCGCUGGCUGUAGGUGUGAGGCCCUGGCUCCUGUGGGGCUAUUGCAGAGGAGAAACUUCUGGAACAGAGAGCUCCUUGUCCAGGGAUGCUGCAUCUGGGUGAGCUGCUCCUUGGAUAUGGUGCAAGUGUGGCCAGGGUGUGGUGUGGAAGGAGCAGAAGUCUUCAGGACUGAAUCUGGAUGGACCACUGUGACAGCUGUAUACCCAGGUGGUACCAGUUUCCCUCUCUGCAGAAGUCCCCCCAACAGCACCAUUCUCAGUGCCAUACCUGGCCUCAUCAGGGCUCUGAUGCAAGACACUGUAUAUGCAGAAUAUAUUAUUUCAUCCUCACAACAGUUCUGUAUCUUCCACAUUUUAUAGGCUAAGGAAAUAGGCUCAGGGUAGUCAAGUAGCUUUCCCAAAGGCACACAGCAG